This 235-nucleotide ribosomal RNA is filed under the name uncultured Glomeromycotina. RNAcentral describes it as "partial 18S ribosomal RNA". The stretch from base 28 to 235 matches the Rfam family "Eukaryotic small subunit ribosomal RNA", at positions 673 to 882 of the family's 1831-position model. Lineage: Eukaryota; Fungi; Glomeromycota. The record is from RNAcentral.
GGAUCAGUGGGUCGGUCGUGCCACUGGUAUGUACUGGCCCUACUGGUUCCUCCUUCUUGAGGAACUGUGAUGCCAUUAAUUUGGUGUUGCAGGGAAACGAGGACUGUUACUUUGAAAAAAUUAGAGUGUUUAAAGCAGGCAAUCGCUUGAAUACAUUAGCAUGGAAUAAUGAAAUAGGACGUUCGACCCUAUUUUGUUGGUUUCUAGGAUUGACGUAAUGAUUAAUAGGGAUAGU